RNAcentral lists this ribosomal RNA (460 nucleotides) under uncultured bacterium. RNAcentral's name for it is "partial 16S ribosomal RNA". It matches the Rfam family "Bacterial small subunit ribosomal RNA", at positions 338 to 795 of the family's 1533-position model. The record is from RNAcentral.
CCUACGGGUGGCAGCAGUGAGGAAUAUUGGUCAAUGGACGAGAGUCUGAACCAGCCAAGUAGCGUGAAGGAUGACUGCCCUAUGGGUUGUAAACUUCUUUUAUAUGGGAAUAAAAUGUUCCACGUGUGGGAUUUUGUAUGUACCAUAUGAAUAAGGAUCGGCUAACUCCGUGCCAGCAGCCGCGGUAAUACGGAGGAUCCGAGCGUUAUCCGGAUUUAUUGGGUUUAAAGGGAGCGUAGGUGGAUUGUUAAGUCAGUUGUGAAAGUUUGCGGCUCAACCGUAAAAUGGCAGUUGAAACUGGCAGUCUUGAGUACAGUAGAGGUGGGCGGAAUUCGUGGUGUAGCGGUGAAAUGCUUAGAUAUCACGAAGAACUCCGAUUGCGAAGGCAGUUCACUGGACUGCAACUGACACUGAGGCUCGAAAGUGUGGGUAUCAAACAGGAUUAGAUACCCGAGUAGUC